Molecule: long non-coding RNA, 1230 nt
Filed under: Anas platyrhynchos platyrhynchos (common mallard)
Lineage: Eukaryota; Metazoa; Chordata; Aves; Anseriformes; Anatidae
Description: lncRNA (ENSAPLG00000022929.1)
Source: RNAcentral
GAACUGCAACAGGAGUAAAGACUAAGGCACAGCUAAACAUUAUCAAGAAAGCCAGUCAUAUAAAAGAAAACAUAACAUUGUCAUGCUGACACAGGUAAUGCUGACUCAUUUGCAGUGAAGAACAGAAACCCGAAUGAGACAGCACAUUUUCAUCCUGUCUUCUUGCAAGGCAGAUGCUAUGAGAACAAACGACCAUGUGAAGGGAAAACCAUCUUGGAUUUGGGUACAGUUGUUGCUAUCAGUUUAGCAGACAAUGCUGAUAAUGCUGGAAAAGAAAAGAACACCACCAAAAGACCCCAAGAGCAGCUUAUGGAGAGACUGAAAUGGGCUGGUGAAAGGUACUAACCUAGAGGGAGUCAACUGAUGGAGGUCAGGCUGUGCAGGGAGCCUCUGGAAAGCCACAGAAGUUCAGCUCACCGAUAACUUCAGCAACCCAGGUGUUAUCUCAAUGGUAAAGUAAUCUUAAUUUAUGCAGUGCUGUUCUAUUCCUUCUAAUUUCUUUUAAUUUCAAAAAGUUCUAUAUUUAUUUUUACCCUUUCCUAAUUUCAAUACUGGAGGCAUCUCCUUGCAAUGUAUUCAUCCUAACAACAUGAAAUUGUUUUUUUGUUUUUUUUUCCAGACAUCUCUCAGUGCUCUGGCCACCUUCAUUUUCCUCCUUCAUACAGUCUACCCAAGAUCCAGGAAAUAAUGAGGAAAAAAGUUAGUAAAACUGGUUUAAGAAACAGUAAGUGUGCCCAUACAUUGAUAAUGUCAUUAUUGCCAUUUUGUCCUUGGCAUUGCAUGGGUACGCAGCAAGUAUGUAAUGAAUGACUGGUGUCCAUUCCCUUCUCUCCAUGCAUAUGAAUGAUAAAUGUGCUUUCCAUUUCCCACUCCCUUUUUAAAGAAAGCAGAAUUUUGUUCUGACUUAGCCUGCUGUACAACCUGGGACUAUAAAAGCCUAUUGCUGUAAUUCAAGCCAAUCAGAAACCUUUUAUUGAAUUAAGUGGGACCAGGACCAGGCUCUAAUAGAAUUUUCUGCAGAGGUGCAAAGAGCACAGUCCAGACAACGGCCAAAGGAGCUCACUAUUAUGAGAAGUGCUGUCAGACUAGAAACAGAUGUAAGUCCUUAAUGACUAUGCAACAAAUAUACACCCUGAAGCACUGCUGAACUUUUCCAGUGGCUGUAAGGUGCUGGCAAUAUAUUGUGCUAAUGAGAAUAAAGCUUCAACCAGGUUAGGAAAAUAGGUAUGA